AUUGAACGCUGGCGGCAUGCCUUACACAUGCAAGUCGAACGGCAGCACGGGUGCUUGCACCUGGUGGCGAGUGGCGGACGGGUGAGUAAUACAUCGGAACGUGUCCAGAAGAGGGGGAUAACGCAUCGAAAGAUGUGCUAAUACCGCAUAUGCUCUGAGGAGGAAAGUGGGGGAUCGAAAGACCUUACGCUUUUGGAGCGGCCGAUGUCUGAUUAGCUAGUUGGUGGGGUAAGGGCCUACCAAGGCGACGAUCAGUAGUUGGUCUGAGAGGACGACCAGCCACACUGGGACUGAGACACGGCCCAGACUCCUACGGGAGGCAGCAGUGGGGAAUUUUGGACAAUGGGCGCAAGCCUGAUCCAGCAAUGCCGCGUGAGUGAAGAAGGCCUGGUUGUAAGACUCUUUCAGUCGAGAAGAAAGGACUGCGGUGAAUAACUGUAGUUUAUGACGGUAUCGGACAGAAGAAGACACCGGAC
This 476-nucleotide ribosomal RNA is filed under the name uncultured bacterium. Its description in RNAcentral is "bacterial SSU rRNA". It matches the Rfam family "Bacterial small subunit ribosomal RNA", at positions 30 to 499 of the family's 1533-position model. The record is from RNAcentral.